RNAcentral lists this long non-coding RNA (1060 nucleotides) under Equus caballus (horse). RNAcentral's name for it is "lncRNA (ENSECAG00000048046.1)". Lineage: Eukaryota; Metazoa; Chordata; Mammalia; Perissodactyla; Equidae. The record is from RNAcentral.
CUUUAUCACUCCUCUUUUCAAAAUAAAUCUUCAAAAUACUGUGAUCGAUGAGCCUUGCAGUCACUCAUCUCCUACAUUCACACAAAUGAAUGGGAGCUUUUGUCUGCUCUACGAACAGAAGAAUAGGAGAGCAGGUGAUGUGAAAGUUGCCAAUGACAGCACUGCAAGCUGACUCGUAUCACAUCUCAUUUUCCCAUAAAUAUUCAAUUUUAUAACAGUGUGCCUUGCUUUAAACCAUCUCCAGUGAUUAAAACAGAAGUUGGAAAACAGACUACUGGGGACUUACUUUCCAACAUAUUUUUUAAACUUUAAAUUUUACUUGCUCUGGAAUAAUUUUAAAUAUUGGAUUGCUCCGUUAUUUGAAGUUGGAAGUUAUUUUCUAAAAUGUGAUUUACAGACAUUUCUACAGACAUUUCAGGAACAUCUCUUUGCCAGCAAAAUUUCACAACAAUCUUCCAAAAAUUUAAUUGCUUCUUUAUCAUACAACUGGAGAAGUGGUUUACCUGACUUGUUUGGCUCUGUCAAGCUCUGGAGGAAGAGACAGUUGGUCACCACCCGCUGUGACUCGUGGCUAAGUGGAGUGUUAUGACAAUAAGCACAACAGAUUCCAUAAGCACUACUCACUUGGCUCGCCUUAUUUAUAUUGGCAGAAGACAUUUUCAGCUCGCCCCUGCACCAAUGCAUACUAUUAGAGCUGGUUCCUAUUAAAUGUAAUAAUUUGGUUUUCCUCUUUGGGAUAUUACUUCUUGAGGCCAAAAUCUUUGGUAAUGAGAUUGGAUUGUGACAAAGGGACAAAUAUAGAUUGUUUUCUUUGAGUAUCUUAUUUCUAAUUCAAGCACAUGUUUGAAUCCUGUAUUUGUUUCAUUUUAAUUCUUCUAUUUGGUAAGUAUUUGAUAGAAUGAGAAUAAUUGCUGUUGAAGGCCCCAUUAAAUGAAAUUUAAUUGGCCAGGGAAGAAAUAAUUUCUUCCUUUCACUCAUGAUUUUAACUUCUGAGGUCAUAGAAAUCCUCAGUUAAAUAUUUCAGGAUGUCUUAAAAGAUUGAAAGUAUGGUCUUUUAUAU